GUGUUAAGGUUUUUAUCAACGCUUUUCAAAGCGAGGAUAUCAGUUCACAUUCUGAGACAUACAAUAGGGUCGAUGAUAAGACGUAGGGGCCCCCAUGACAGGGGCCCUUACAUUAGGUUCACAGGUGUGUGUGGAUUAAGGGGCUCAGGUGUGCACAUGCCCCGAGAGGCCAGCUACAACCCUCACCUAUAAUUUCGAUAAUGAUCCUUCCGCAGGUUCACCUACGGAAA
This 230-nucleotide unclassified non-coding RNA is filed under the name uncultured fungus. Its description in RNAcentral is "sequence contains ITS1". Lineage: Eukaryota; Fungi. The record is from RNAcentral.